Helianthus annuus (common sunflower) is the source of this 942-nucleotide RNA transcript. It is a transcript of the gene named ATP-dependent Clp protease ATP-binding subunit ClpA homolog CD4B, chloroplastic, with no coding region annotated. NCBI's taxonomy places the organism in Eukaryota, Viridiplantae, Streptophyta, Magnoliopsida, Asterales, Asteraceae. The record is from RefSeq and is a predicted model, not a curated record. The transcript is spliced from 6 exons.
UUUUAGGGUUUCUCAUCUUUUCAUUAUCCGCCCCAACUCCAUGCUUUCUCUCUCCCACACGAUUUCCAGAUCUAGGGUUUCAAUACCACCGAAUCGUUCAUUUUCUCUCAAUCCGACAGAAGAUCUAGUGGGGUUGAUCUCUAGAAGAUCCACUGGGGUUGACCUCUUGGUACCGUAUAAACCAUCUUCUCCGAGAUCAGCUGCUGCUUAUGUUAAUCCUCAUCGUUUUCUGUUUAGAUCUGGUUUUAAUACCGCGGUUGUAUAUCUGAAUCUGCCAAUUUUAUUCCAUUUUCAAACCUUCAAAGAUCCAGAGAACUAAAGGCUAUGGUUCAACUAACUAGCAGUUAACUUCUCCUAGAUCCGCUGCUGCUCGUGUUAAUCCUCAUCGUCUUCUAUUCAGAUCUGGUUUUAAUACUGGUGAUAACUCUGCACCCAGCACUGGAGAGACGUUUCCAGCCCGUAAAGCUCCCAGAAGAAGCUAGAGAGCUCGAGAAAGAACCUAGGCAAAUAACAAAAGAAAAGAACAAAGCUGUUUGUGGCCAAGAUUUCGAAAAGGCUGGGGAGUUACGUGAUUGGGGAAUGGAUCUUAAAACUCAAUCAUCCACUCUUAUGGAAAAAAACAAAGAGAUGAGCAAAGCCAAGACCGAGGCGGGAGAAGAGGGCCCAACCGUAACUGAAGCGGACAUUCAACACAUUAUCUCAUCAGAUAUCAAGAAUACCUAACUUAAAGUUUCAAAUUUCUUACAAACUAACCUCAAUACAAAGAACUCUAUAACGGCAAGGGUUCUUCGCCAGGUAACGAUGGUUGUGAACGACGUGAAAUUCAUUUUGACAUUUUCUAAUCAACAAUGCUUUGUUUCAGUCGAAAAAUGCUUUGUUUCUCAUCUAUUGGAUUUUUGCAAAUAGUUUUUAAACUUAAUAAGAUUAAGCAACUCGAAACUA